UCACGAUGGAGAGAGACGCUCAGGACCUGUCGCGCAGCACGGGACGGCGGUGAUGGAGGUUUGGGACAAACGGAAGUCGAAGCGUGGGAGAAUAGAGGGGUCCUGGGAGAAGCUAAGGCUCGUCUGCAGAGCGGGACGGUGCUAGAUAAAACAGUGCAUUAGCUUGGAUGUUACUAAGCUGAACUUAGACACAUAGCGGUCCGCAGGCUGAAAGCGGAGACCGGCGGACGCACGGGACGGCGUUUUCCAGUGCAGUUAAAAAUGGCACUUUGUGCUUCUGGGAAGCACCGUUCGUGCAAGUGAUAAAUGAUACCCAAAAAUAGGCUGCGACUUAAAAUAGCGGUCGGAUAGGAAGGGGUGAAAUGUCCAGAUCCCUGCUCACACCCUGCAGUACAGUACCCAUCAAUGGGCUAUCUGCCUACAGAGAGGCUUGUUGAAUGAAUUCUACGAUGCAUGACUUCGAGACCCCCGAAGGUUUAAGCUCACAGCGUCUCUCCGUCGGAGACCUUGCCGUGAUCCAGCUGGUUCCAGACUUCAGUACAGCUGUUGUCCAAACAUGGACAGGAGAAUGGAGUUCCAGAGGCAAUACGAAAGCUACCCCCUUAGCACCAAGGCAGCACUUGAUCGAGUGUGGCAUCAAGAAACCCUGUCAAAACUGAAGUCAAUGGGCAUCAACAGGAAAUCUCUCCAAUGAUUGGAGUCAGAAAGGAAAAUGCCCAAUGGUAACAAAGUGUUCUUUGACUCUCAACGAAGCCUUUUUUCCUGAAUAAUCCUCUAUAUCCAUUGACCUAGUACAGUCUUGAACCAUGACCUAUUCAUAUCGAACAGGCAAAAAGCCGUGAGCUCACUCACACAGCAGGUAGAGGUGCAGCCACAUAACCCAAAGAAUUGUGUUUGACAUUGACCUUCAGCGCUAUCUGUGAGAAGUUUGCAGGUCCUCUAUGAGUGCAUGAAUUCCCCCGGUUGCUCCAGUGGAGGUAAGGGGCAGGAGAGUUGAAGUGAGUUUAACGGAAUGCAAGGAGAAAAUAUGGGAUUAGUGUAGAAUUCGUGCAAAUGAACAUUUGAUUGUCGGCAUUGGAAACUAUGGGCUGAAUAAUCUAUGCUAUAAAUCAUUACCAAGAGACAGUGGAAAUCAAACAGCAAUAUGUUUUUGGACAGAAGCUAAUCCGAUCAUUAGAAUUGUAAUAAGAUUCUAAUUGACCAUUGGAAAAUGAGGCAAAGGGCUGUAGAAGGUAAUUUCAACAAUCUGGGACCUGGCAGAAACAGAUGGGGUGGAAGAAUUCAGCACU
Mobula hypostoma (lesser devil ray) is the source of this 1289-nucleotide long non-coding RNA. RefSeq lists it as uncharacterized. The record is from RefSeq and is a predicted model, not a curated record. The transcript has 3 exons. NCBI's taxonomy places the organism in Eukaryota, Metazoa, Chordata, Chondrichthyes, Myliobatiformes, Myliobatidae.